AUUGAACGCUGGCGGCAGGCCUAACACAUGCAAGUCGAACGAGUGGCGGACGGGUGAGUAAUGUCUGGGAAACUGCCCGAUGGAGGGGGAUAACUACUGGAAACGGUAGCGAAUACCGCAUACCAUCGGAUGUGCCCAGAUGGGAUUGGCUAGUAGGUGGGGUAAAGGCUCACCUAGGCGACGAUCCCUAGCUGGUCUGAGAGGAUGACCACCCACACUGGAACUGAGACACGGUCCAGAUUCCUAGGGGGGGCAGCAGGGGGGAAUAUUGCACAAUGGGCGCAAGCCUGAUGCAGCCAUGCCGCGUUUAUGAAGAAGGCCUUCGGGUUGUAAAGUACUUUCAGCGGGGAGGCGUUACCCGCAGAAGAAGCACCGGCUAACUCCGUGCCAGCAGCCGCGGUAAUUC
RNAcentral lists this ribosomal RNA (406 nucleotides) under uncultured bacterium. RNAcentral's name for it is "partial 16S ribosomal RNA". It matches the Rfam family "Bacterial small subunit ribosomal RNA", at positions 30 to 526 of the family's 1533-position model. The record is from RNAcentral.